Brachypodium distachyon (stiff brome) is the source of this 1259-nucleotide long non-coding RNA. RefSeq lists it as uncharacterized. NCBI's taxonomy places the organism in Eukaryota, Viridiplantae, Streptophyta, Magnoliopsida, Poales, Poaceae. The record is from RefSeq and is a predicted model, not a curated record. The transcript is spliced from 2 exons.
CCCUUUUUCCUCCAAGCCGCCGCUGCCAGCAUCUCUUCUUCUUCCUCUUUUCUUCUUCCUCCCGAAGCCAGCUUCCCUGGCUCGAUCUCCCCGCUGCCUCCUCCCAUGGCCGGUCGCCCUUGCUCCCCGCGCCUCUCCGCCUCGCCGCGCGCCCUCCUCUCCCCGCACCCUCUCUCUCCCGGCUGCUGCUCGUGCUGCGAGCCCCACACGCGCCACCACCUGCCGCUCGCCCGAGCUCCCGCUUCCCGUCGCCCGCUGCCGUUGCCUCCAAUGGCGCCUCCCCUUCCACCGAGCGCCGCCUGCCUUGCUCCCUGCUCCGCCUCCACGCUCGCCGCCCGUCCAGCCGUCUUGCCCGCGCCUCUCCACCCCGCCGGCGACCACCUGCCCGCGCGCGCCAUGCCGCCUCUCCCCGUCAUCCGCAACCACCUCGCCGGCCGCUCCGCCUCCCUCUUCCGAGCGCCUCCAUCUCCCCUGCGCUGCCCUCGCCUGCUGCUCGCCGUCGGGUGCCACCAACCGCAGGCCCGAAGCAGCUCCUUCCUCCUUGGCCCAUCUUCUCCAGCCCGCAGGCCCAAGACAAGCAGGCCCGUGCCCUCUUUCCCUUGUUGUUUUUCUUUCUUUUUCCUGAAAUUGCUGCCUGACGUUUGGGCCCUGCUGAUCAUCGCCUCCGUUUCCUUGCUGUGUGCUGCUGUUCGCUUGUCAUCGCUCCGUGUCGAGUCGUCUCGCUGCUGCGUCCACGUGUUGCUGCUGCCGCACUUCGUCGAAUCGCCUAGAACCCCGGAGACGGAGCCAUGAACAACUACGACCACGACAGAUGAAUGACUACAUCGUCUACUCGACUACGACGACUACGUGUACGACUACCUCGAUAUACAUCGACUACUUCCUCUACAUCGCGACGCCGCACGUGUCCAAGUCUUCGGUUCCGACGACGACUACGCUUGUUCUUCUUCCAGUAUUCUUGCUCAAUUCCGAGCAAUUGAGUACUCCAGGCAAGCAGCCCUUCCUUGACCAUGUUGUUUAUACCCAAUGCCUCUCUCUCAUUCUUGCACUAAGUUACGUUCUCAGUCUUGUCACGAUGCCUCUAGGAUUGCAUAGCUUUUUAGCCAGCUCUACUCAAAUGUCUUUGUCUUGUUACUUGUCCUAUUACCAUGUCACAUGUCCCCCUCGACUUAGUACUUGAUCCUCAGCUCUUCCAGGGGCCACAUAGUUCGGGCGUUCCAUUGGCAUAUCGCAUGUACACUGGUGUUGUGUUGGAGACU